UCUUGCGCCAUGCGCGCAAGCGUGACGCAGCAACGCCGCGUGGGGGAAGAAGGCCUUCGGGUGGUAACCCCUUGCAGUUGGGACGAAGCUUCCGCGGUUAACAGCCGCGUGGCGUGACGGUACCUGCAGAAGAAGCCCCGGCUAACUACGUGCCAGCAGCCGCGGUAAUACGUAGGGGGCUAGCGUUGUCCGGAAUCAUUGGGCGUAAAGCGCGUGUAGGCGGCCCGGUAAGUCCGCUGUGAAAGUCGGGGGCUCAACCCUCGAAAGCCGGUGGAUACUGUCGGGCUAGAGUACGGAAGAGGCGAGUGGAAUUCCUGGUGUAGCGGUGAAAUGCGCAGAUAUCAGGAGGAACACCAAUUGCGAAGGCAGCUCGCUGGGACGUGACUGGCGCUGAGACGCGAAAGCGUGGGGAGCAAACAGG
Molecule: ribosomal RNA, 421 nt
Filed under: uncultured bacterium
Lineage: Bacteria
Description: bacterial SSU rRNA
Rfam family: Bacterial small subunit ribosomal RNA
Source: RNAcentral